This 581-nucleotide ribosomal RNA is filed under the name Leptopelis vannutellii (Dime forest treefrog). RNAcentral describes it as "partial 16S ribosomal RNA". It matches the Rfam family "Bacterial large subunit ribosomal RNA", at positions 1797 to 2607 of the family's 2925-position model. The record is from RNAcentral. Lineage: Eukaryota; Metazoa; Chordata; Amphibia; Anura; Arthroleptidae.
CGCCUGUUUAUCAAAAACAUCGCCUCUUGACCACUAUAAGAGGUCCAGCCUGCCCAGUGACCAGUUUAACGGCCGCGGUACCCUAACCGUGCGAAGGUAGCAUAAUCACUUGUUUCUUAAAUAGAGACUAGUAUCAACGGCAUCACGAAGACUAUACUGUCUCCCCCCUAAAAUCAAUGAAACUGAUCUCCUCGUGAAGAAGCGAGGAUAUACAUAUAAGACGAGAAGACCCCAUGGAGCUUUAAACGAACUUCAUUUGUUCCUACCCAUAACAUACAAAUUGAACACUCCCUGAUAGAUAGUUUUAGGUUGGGGUGACCGCGGAGUAAAACAAAACCUCCACAAUGAAUGUAAUAAAAUUCUUAUAAAAGAACUACAAUUCUAAUAAUCAAAAAUUUGACAUAAGUUGACCCAAACACUUGAUCAAUGAACCAAGUUACCCUGGGGAUAACAGCGCAAUCCAUUUUAAGAGCCCAUAUCGACAAAUGGGUUUACGACCUCGAUGUUGGAUCAGGGUAUCCCAGUGGUGCAGCCGCUACUAAAGGUUCGUUUGUUCAACGAUUAAAACCCUACGUGAUCUG